This is a long non-coding RNA of Ornithorhynchus anatinus (platypus), 1245 nucleotides long. RefSeq lists it as uncharacterized. The record is from RefSeq and is a predicted model, not a curated record. Lineage: Eukaryota; Metazoa; Chordata; Mammalia; Monotremata; Ornithorhynchidae. The transcript is spliced from 6 exons.
ACAUAGCCUUUGGAAUUGGUUUCAUCAGCUUUGAGCUCCUAAGUAGCUGGGGAAUCCUCUGCACUAAAAUAACUCCUGGUCUCCAUGAGGACAAAAGCUUCUUAGUGAGCAGAAUCAACUGAAAAGCAAGAGAGAGCAGCAUGAUACACUUCAAUCAAGAAACGAGUGGCUUUUUUAGAGAAGAGGGUUUCUAAAGAUCGAGACAAGGAGCCACAUGUGAAAAAACCCGAAGUGCUGCAAAUAGGGAACUGCACAAUAUGGCACAGUCUUUGUGCAUUAGGUUGGCUUCUUCAGAGGGAAUCUCCAAGCCUACAUGAAAAUCUGAAAGAAGAUAAAUUGGAACCCGUAAAAAGUAAGGUUGUUUGCAUCAAUCUUCUUAAGAAGUAAUGCAUGAUUGUCGCCCAGAUCCCUGGAGCAAAGGACCCUUGCAAUCACUUCAAAUGGAAAAUGGAAUAAGAUGACGCUCACCGUUCUUAGGAUCCAGACUAAAAUGGAAAGGAAGAGUUAAUGUUGUAUUUUAAGAUGACGAGUUGCUGCAAAGGACAACUUUACAUUUCAGGUGAAUCUGCUCCAAGAUGAGAUGUAUGACUAUUCCUCCCAAGCUGAAAAUUCUGUGAACAAAUAAAAUGCUGCUGUGAGACCUUCUGAGCUUAUCGAUGACAAAUGACAUACCUGUCACAGCGAUGUUUAAUUUCCAGUGACUGCUGGGAAGAAUCACAUCAUUCCAAUAUCUGUUUGUUUUUUCACUUCAAAUUAGUAUCCAUGGGAAGCUAAAUAAAUUGUAAUGACACUAUUGGAAAAAAUAUAAUUGUGGAAAAAGACUUUGGUAUUCAAAAACCAAUAUCCUAAACUGAAAAAUGGGUUUAUAUUUGAACAAAUGCCAUAUGCAGUUAUUUCAAUAUUUCCUUUUCUGGUAUGCAAAUGUAUUUUCAAUAUUAUUGUAUUUUCUUUCACAUUAACACUACAGAAUGGGUUCUUGCUUAUAUUUGCUAGUAAGUCGAUCUCUCUAUCAGACAUCAAGUGAUGACCUCUUCUGACCCAAAGAUUUAUCAAGUCAGCAGUGUAUUCCCUGAGGCCACCAUCUUCAGCCUCUUCCUCUGGCAGUCACGUCUAUUGAAGGGCUUUGCCAAUCCUCAUGAGAAAAUGGGCUAAUCUACUUGUUUCAAAGGAACAGGAAGAACACCUUUUCAGAUUGUGCUUUGUUUGUGGAGCGAGGAAGUUAAUAAAGAAAAAAACAUUCACCUA